RNAcentral lists this ribosomal RNA (1495 nucleotides) under Urobatis jamaicensis (yellow stingray). Its description in RNAcentral is "partial 16S ribosomal RNA". It matches the Rfam family "Bacterial large subunit ribosomal RNA", at positions 19 to 2573 of the family's 2925-position model. Lineage: Eukaryota; Metazoa; Chordata; Chondrichthyes; Myliobatiformes; Urotrygonidae. The record is from RNAcentral.
ACCUCAAAGCUAGCCAAAACUAUCUACCAUUAACUUAUUCCUAUUAAGCCAACACCACCAUCAAUCCUUAAAUCUUAAAACAUUUUACCCUUCUCAGUAUAGGCGAUAGAACAGAAACAUUGAGCCAUAGAAAUUANUACCGCAAGGGAAAGCUGAAAAAGAAAUGAAACAAAUCAUUAAAGUACAAAAAAGCAGAGACCAGCCCUCGUACCUUUUGCAUCAUGAUUUAGCAAGAACAAUUAGGCAAAAAGCUUUUUAGCCUAACCUCCCGAAACCAAGCGAGCUACUUCGGAGCAGCAUAAUAGAGCCAACCCACCUCUGUGGCAAAAGAGGGGGAAGACUUCCAAGUAGCNGUGAUAACCUACCGAGCCUGGUGAUAGCUGGUUAUCCAAAAAAAGAACUUAAAUUCUGCAUUAAUUAUUCAAUAACUAGUUAACCAUAAACUUUUAAACAAAAACCUAUUGUAAAAAUUAAUAGUUAUUCAAAAAAGGUACAGCUUUUUUGAACCAAGAAACAACUUUCCUGGGAGGGUAAUGAUCACAAACAUUAAAGGUUAACUCCUCAGUAGGCCUAGAAGCAGCCAUCUGUAAAGAAAGCGUUAUAGCUCAAGAUUCAUCCCAACCAACAAUCCCAAUAUAAAAUCACAACCCCCCAAACUACUAUUGGAUUAUUUUAUUAACAUAAAAGAAAUUAUGCUAAAAUGAGUAAUAAGGGGCUAAACCCCUCCCCUACACCAGUGUAUGUCAGAAAGAAUUAAAUCACUGACAAUUAACCGAUGUCAAACUUGAGACCAUUGUGGCAUAAAAACAACUAACAAGAAAAACCCACCCUCAAAAACCAUCGUUAACCCCACACAGGAGUGUAUUUAGGAAAGAUUAAAAGAAAAUAAAGGAACUCGGCAAACACUAACUCCGCCUGUUUACCAAAAACAUCGCCUCUUGCCCAACACUNGUAUAAGAGGUCCCCGCCUGCCCUGUGAAUCUUUAACGGCCGCGGUAUCUUGACCGUGCGAAGGUAGCGUAAUCAAUUGCCUUUUAAUUGAAGGCCAGUAUGAAAGGCAUCACGAGAGUUUAUCUGUCUCUAUUUUCUGAUCAAUGAAAUUGAUCCCCUCGUGCAGAAGCGAGAAUAAAAACAUAAGACGAGAAGACCCUAUGGAGCUUAAAACACUUAAGCCACUCUUAAUACCCAAACACCCUCCUACGGAUAUAAAACAAAUUAUAGCCCCUGGCUUAACUUGUUUUUGGUUGGGGCGACCGAGGGGCAAAACAAAACCCCCUUAUCGAACGUGUGAAAAAUCACUUAAAAAUUAGAACCACUAUUCUAAUCAAUAGAAAAUCUAACGAACAAUGACCCAGGGAAUUUAUACCCUGAUCAAUGAACCAAGUUACCCUAGGGAUAACAGCGCAAUCCUUUCUUAGAGCCCCCAUCGCCGAAAGGGUUUACGACCUCGAUGUUGGAUCAGGACAUCCUAUUGGUGUAGCUGCUAUUAAGGGUU